GACGAAGGAUGCAAGCGUUAUCCGGAUUCAUUGGGUUUAAAGGGUGCGUAGGCGGACUUGUAAGUCAGUGGUGAAAUCUCUCAGCUUAACUGAGAAACUGCCAUUGAUACUGCAGGUCUAGAGUAUAGAUGACGUUGGCGGAAUAUGACAUGUAGUGGUGAAAUACUUAGAUAUGUCAUAGAACACCGAUUGCGAAGGCAGCUAACGAAACUAUAACUGACGCUGAGGCACGAAAAGUGCGGGGAUCAAACAGG
RNAcentral lists this ribosomal RNA (254 nucleotides) under uncultured bacterium. Its description in RNAcentral is "partial 16S ribosomal RNA". It matches the Rfam family "Bacterial small subunit ribosomal RNA", at positions 524 to 776 of the family's 1533-position model. The record is from RNAcentral.